UACGGGGGGGGCAAGCGUUGUUCGGAAUUACUGGGCGUAAAGGGCUCGUAGGCGGCCAACUAAGUCAUACGUGAAAUCCCUCGGCUUAACCGGGGAACUGCGUCUGAUACUGGAUGGCUUGAGUUCGGGAGAGGGAUGCGGAAUUCCAGGUGUAGCGGUGAAAUGCGUAGAUAUCUGGAGGAACAUCGGUGGCGAAGGCGGCUUGCUGGGCCCUUACUGACGCUGAGACUCGAAAGCGUGGGGAGCAAACGGG
RNAcentral lists this ribosomal RNA (253 nucleotides) under uncultured bacterium. RNAcentral's name for it is "partial 16S ribosomal RNA". It matches the Rfam family "Bacterial small subunit ribosomal RNA", at positions 524 to 776 of the family's 1533-position model. The record is from RNAcentral.